Molecule: long non-coding RNA, 978 nt
Organism: Ziziphus jujuba (common jujube)
Lineage: Eukaryota; Viridiplantae; Streptophyta; Magnoliopsida; Rosales; Rhamnaceae
Exons: 2
Source: RefSeq, a predicted model, not a curated record
AAAAUAUUAUCAUAGUAAAAAUCAAGCAUAUUAAAAAUGAUAACUAAAAGCAAUAACAUGAAUUAGAUGAGGUAAAAGCUAAGAAUAUAAUUGAAUUAGUUGCUUCUCACUUUUUUAUACCACCAUGACAAAUCACCAUCACAUAGAUUUUUAUUUAUUUUUUUAUUUUAUUCUUUCUCUUUCCUUCCCCCACGUGAAAGAAAGAUUUCUUUCUUAUCUUUUUUUCUUUUCUUCUUUCUCUUUCCCUUCCCCCACGUGGAAGAAAGAUUUCUUUCUUAUCCUUUCUUCUUCUUCCUCUCUUCCCUUCGUCUUGUUCCUCCCUCUCUUCUGUGCCAGAUCAGUUAACAACCAAAAACAAAAAAAACCAAAAUUUCCAAUUUCGGCCCUCUCUUUUCUCUUCUCUUCUCUUCUCUUCUCUCUGUGUAUCCCCAUCUUUUCCCCCUUCAGUUUUUCUCCGACUGAUUACCACAAACCAAACACACACACAAAUCAACACAAACACACCCAACCAGUCCGGCCGACAUAUCCCAGAAAUUUCCACCUUUUCCUGUCGACAAUCGGCCGAUCUUUCCAUCUUAUCCACCCAAAACCCGAAAUCUUCACCGACAAUGGACGAUUCCGUCGACUUCCAUCGAUUCCGGCGACAAAUUGACGACACGCAUGCAAGAAACUUCUCCCCCCCCCCCUGUCGGUGUCGGACGGGGUCGACAACGGAAACUGUCGCUGACAUUUCCACCGUCUCGACGAUUUUUGCUUCCCUGGAGCUUUAUGAUGAAUGUCUCACAAGAUACAACGGCUGUAAGAUCUUGAACACGGCAUCUUCAAAACCUUUCCUUCGAAGUUUUGCAUACCUUCACUUUAUUACUGUCAUUGAUUUUCUCUCUGCUUUUCAUCUAUUUCUUAAAAACCUUUUUUCUCUAUGUUUUUCUUUUUCUCUGAAAAAUCUACUGAAAGGAAUGUUGAAAGAACGUGAAAACA